GAGUUCCGACCGGGCAGUAACCGCAGCCAGGAGAAUGGGCUCUCGUGGAUACUUGGGAGGCUUAGUAGUCAGCUUGGAAGUACUGCCUAAGUGUGCUGUCAUGUCCCUCCUAUCCUACGAUGGGAGAGCUGACCUAAGGAAAUGUAGCUCUCUCAGCCUUGGGACUCGUCCCUACUCCUAGUUUUCACCCUCCGGAAAGAUUGAGAACGACUUAGAAUCUUUUGGCCCUCGGAAGGGGCUUCUUUCUGUUUCAGCUUGUUUGCUUUAUGGAAUUUGAAUGGAGUUCCCGUCGUGGCACAGUGGUUAACGAAUCCGACUAGGAACCAUGAGGUUGUGGGUUCUAUCCCUCACCUUGCUCAGUGGUUUAAGGAUCCGGCGUUGCCGUGAGCUGUGAUGUAGGCCGCGUCUGCGGCUCGGAUCCCGCGUGGCUGUGGCUGUGGCGUAGACCGGCGGCUACAGCUCUGAUUCAACCCCUAGCCUGGGAGCCUCCAUAUGCCGCAGGAAGCGGCCCUAGAAACGGCAAAAAGACUGAUCAGGGGGUCCAACUCGACGCUUUCAGCGCACACAAAUUGUCUUCUUUGGUGCUACUGGAAGGACCCUCCUUGGAGACCUCGCAGGGAUUCUUAACCGAGGCUGCACGCCAGAAUCACCUGAAGAGCUUUGACAUAUUGAUGCCUGGGGCCCACUCUGAGGAAUGAGUUUGAAGCGAUCUGCAGGCGAUCCUAAUGUGCAGCUAAAACUUAAGAAUCAGUGAUCUAUAGCCUCAGGGAAGAUUUGAGAUUACACAGAGAAUGUGAUAAAUACUUUUCCGGAACAAGUCAACACUUGCACUCAAAAAAACCUAAAUUGCCUCCCACAGACAAGGUGCUGUUACAGCACAAAUAAGACAGUUACUGCCCCAAGGAAAAUCAUGGUCCAGGGGAAAAGUCAGAAUGUGACAUCUUUGCAACACAAAUGAACAAGACAGAAGCUGCAUGGCCUUAUAUGAUCUAGCAUUGAGAAUCAGUUGUGUCACUUUUGCUGUGUCACUCACUGUUGAAGCAGUCACAAGUUUGCCCAGAUUCAAGGGGAGGGCAUUAUAGCUCACCUCUCAAAGGGAUGGCAUGUCAAAGAAUAAGUAGCCUUAAAAAAAAAAAUCCUGCCAUAUAGGAUUUUAUUCUUCUUUCAUGGGUGUUUCUCUCCAAACAGGUGGAGGCAGGAGUGGAGUAUAGCUUUGCAAUGUUCUCUUUCAAAGGACAGUUUUGCUGUGCUUUGCUGCUGUUCUGCUUGCCUGUGUUGCCUAUGCUGCUGCCUUCUGAACUGCUGCAGGUUGCUUCUACCAUCAAUCCCUGCUCCUCCCAGGCCCCCUCUUGCAGUUCUAAGACCCCUCUUCUUGGACACCCCUUGACCUUAUUUCUCUGAGCAUUUCUUCUCUUUGCUGGUACUCUUUACCCAGAUUUACAUCUCUCCACACUCUUUUUCAAAAGAAAGUGUCAUUCUUUUAUACCAUAUGGCCUUUUUAAGAGAUGUUAUCUUAGGGCGUUCCCUUGUGGCACAGUGGGUUAAAGACCCAGCAUUGUCAUUGCAACAGCUUGGGUCCCUACUGUGACUUGGGUUCAGUCUCUAGCCAGGAAACUUCCACAUGCCUCAUGGGGGGGGGGGGGGAAGGUGUUAUCAUAGCAGAAGAGCAUAGCCCUUUAGAGAUGUGUUUUCAGUUUUACUACUCAGUCUGUGGGGAAAGGAUGGUUUGUCUCCUAGCAAAGGGAUUUGGCUACUUAGUAGUAAUAUUCUUUAUUUUUUACUACAAGUUCUGUUUUCCUGAGGGGCAUGCAUAUCACCAGAAGCUGGGUGGAUGGGGUGGAAGAGAAAUAUUCAGGUACAGUUUUACACUAUACCUGAAAAGCAUUACUUCUUCUGAUGCCUAGGUUUGAUUCCACCUCAGAUUAGCAAUUUACUGCUGUGCUUUUGUUUCUUUUUCUCAAAAUGGACACCAUUGGGUCAUCUUUAGUCCACCCUAAAUGACUGUAUAUGCCUGAACCCUAAUUGUGAACAGUUUCCUGUUUUUACUGUGGGGAUCCUUACCCAGGUAAGUCAAAGGGUGGAGAUGGUGGUGCUCUAACAUCCUAGAUUAGUUAAGGAAAAUCUGUCUGCCAGAGUACACAGAGGACCUGAAAUAAUCUCUGUACUUCAGUCCUGCCUUACAAAAGCACCAGCCAUCUGUCACGUUUUUGUUUCUUCUAAUUACUUCCUAAAAUUCCUUGAGUUCCUUAAAGUAAGCCAUCUCUUUCAGGCUAAUCUGGAUUAGAGAUAUGCUCUUGUUAUUUGCUUUUCCUCUGGAUAAACUGCAAUUAAUACUGUUCGUUAAAAUCUGCUAUCUCCCAUUAUCUUUUCUCUCCAUUUUCUGUGAUAAUAGAAUCUUAGCCAGACACAAGAAUAAAGACUACAUUUC
This 2428-nucleotide long non-coding RNA is filed under the name Sus scrofa (pig). Its description in RNAcentral is "lncRNA (ENSSSCG00000061349.1)". The record is from RNAcentral. Lineage: Eukaryota; Metazoa; Chordata; Mammalia; Artiodactyla; Suidae.